CCGGUACUUCCACUUAGAGAUUCUCUUAGCAUUUAGCAACUAGAGACGAGAAUGGCUCUAGCAGGGGCGUUGUCAUUUCGUAGUUAGUAAGGGUAAAAAUAUUAUUGGGCUGUUUGCACAGGUACCACAUGAGGGAAACCUCGUUUUCCAUUCUUCAACCUCCCUUUCUCUCUCAUUAACUUCCUUCUUAAUCUUCCCAUAAAGAAUUUAAAAUAGUUAACUUCCCUCUCUCUAUACUCCCUUCUCUCUCUCUCUCUCUCUAUCACUCAAUUUCACGUUCUUGUCGCUUCUAUUCUAGGUCUCCUGUCGUUUGUGAUUGUUCUUUGUUUGGUGCUUGUUGUUCAGGCAUCGACAUCUUUCUCCUGCUAAUACAGGACAAAUGGGAUGAAAAAGGGGUGAUGCUUCUCGUUUAGCGGUUGGUAGUAGGGCGAAGUUGGGGCUCACAAUGAAGGGAAUUACACAGGAUUUUCAGGAAGAAGGUGUAAAUGUUGGUGAUAAAAGCCAAAAAGCGGUUGCUGCUAAUAAAAGCCAGAAAAAGGUUGCAGCUGGUAAAAGAAAAUUGUUUGUAGAUAAGAACAUACUUGAGAAAAGCAGUAAAAAGAGGUAAGGACAAGGGGUUGAACCUUCCUAUCAAGUGACCUACAAGAUUGAGUUGCUUGCACAUGGAAUUAGGGAAGGGGGAAAAACUAUUAAAAGAUUCAAAUGGGGUGCAAGUGAAGAUGAAUCAGAGCAAGGAAGUGAAGAAGAUGGAGGUUGUAGUGAUGAGCAGGAUACUGAGGAUGAAGAGUUGCAGCAUUUGGACUGGAAACUCAAUAAGGCAAGGCUUGAGCAAGCAAGUUGAAGAAGAAAAUGUCAAAAGCAAUGGAAGCUAAAUUGAAAAAGGCUAUCAGGGCCACGGUGUGGGAUCCGCAGCGGGUGGCGGUUGAUAAUUGUCCACUUGGAGUUAUUGUGACAAAGAAGGAGCGGCCUGGUAGUAGAUACCCAAUCACAUUUUUGUUCCAAGGUGUGUUUUGUCAACAUUCACUCAUUGAUUUGUGUUAUGAUAGUGGGAAUUCAAUGUGUUGGUAUCACAGUUUGUGUUUACUAUUGUGUUGAACAACCUGCAAAUGUCAUAUGUCGCAUGCAUGCAUUCAUCAAGGUUAAUGAUGGACUGGAUCCAACAAGGAAAAAUGCAGUUCAAGAAAUGGGGUUAGGUUCACUUCUGAACUUGAAGGUGAAUCGAUUAGACAAGAAGUUCUGCUAUUGGUUGCAUACUAGGGUGGAUCAUGUGAGUAGUGUGAUGCAAUUUGGGGAUGGUGUGGAGUUGCCUCUAUGUCCCAUGCAGUGGAAUUGUGUGUUAGGAAUACGGUAAACACGCGAGCCUUUGCCGCUAACUUGUGAAAAGCUGGACAUAAACAUGAACAAAAAAGUUAAGCUGAUUGGCAAAUGGUUUGGAGUUUUGGAUACACAGAGAAGGACAGACAUCUCACUUGGGCAGGUCGUAGAUGCGAUAAUUUGUCGUUCUCAUUGGUGUCGGCCGUUGCGAUAGCUCAUGAGGUGGAGCUGUACAAUUAGGAAGAGUUUAGCUAUGGUUGGCUGAUGGCAUAUCAGACAAAUUUUCAGCGGAAGUUUGGGAAGUAUGGCUUUGUUACUGGUUGUGGUGGGUGUACGCUAUUUUUACAACUAUUUUACGUUGACAAUUUGAGUUUGACUCCCUAUUCAUGGGGUGAGAUGCCGAGGAUUAAUGUAUGGACGCAGGAGAGAGUGAGCGGUGUUAUUAAAGAAGAAGAGAGGUUGUCUGGUGACUAUGAGAAGUUGAAGCGCCAUCCUAGCCUUGCGAGGGAUAAGAGAUUGUCGCAGGAGCUAGUUGGAUACUCAAUGAAGGAUUUGAUUGUUAGAAAGGUAUGUGAUGUUGGUUGAAGUUGAUGUCAAUAGAUAUUUUAGUUUUGCAUGUCUUUUGUUCCAGGUUGAGCUUGUGUAGGUAGUGAAAGCCUUAACUCCUUGGUAAGAAUCAAUCAAGCGCUGUCUGGGGACAUUGUCCAAGAAAAGGGUGAAAAGUGAAAGUAGUAGGGGAAGUCAUCCUUUAAAGGGACUGAUAGCAAGUGCAGAGGCUGCAUUGAAGGGGGCUAAUGUAGCAGCACAGAAGAAAAGUGUUCAAUGGGAUGACCUGGGUAAUAGGAUUGUGGCAGGUGAUCCUUGAUGACGAAUUAUGACAAUUUAUCCUCUAUAAAUGAGGUGCUUCCGAGUAUAUAGAGUGAAGGGGUUGUUGCUGAAGCUAAUGCUGGGCUGGGUGGGAAGAGAGAAUGCAGGGGGAGAGAAUGCAAGAGGAGAGAAUGCAGGGUUGUUAUGGAAUAAGAAUCCAAUAGAUGGGGAAGGAGAGAUCGAUUGUAAAGGGGGAAGAAAUCAAGAGAUGAUAGUGAAAACAUUGCAGAAGAUGGGGAGAAUAAUGCAAGAGAGAAGAAUUAUGGAGAGGAUGUUGAAGCUGGGGAAAAGAAUAAAGAAGAGAACAAUAGGAAAAAUCGUGUGGCUGAUGGGGAGGCUAGGAGAGAAAGGUGCGCUGAUGUUGAGAGUUCGGAAGACAAAGGUGUACUGCUGAGGGAUGGGGAUAAAGAAGGUGAAGUGCAGCAGGGUAACCAAGGCAACAAAAAAAACGAGGACAACAGUCUUUCUUGGGGGAAAGGGAAUCCAAGGAAGGCAGAGAGGGGUAGGACCAGGAAUUAUUGAGUUGUGGGGCGGAAUGUAAACACGUUGAUAAAGAAUUGGAAAGUUAGGGAUGAUGGUUUAAGCGGGGUAGUUUAUCUGAUCCUGUGCGACGGGAUGGAUGCAAUAGUUGGGGAUUUCCAUGGUGUUCAGAAUGUGCGAGAACAGGACCGUUUAAUAAAAGAAGUAGAGGCACAUAACGUUGCAACGAAGAAGCAUGGCCAAAGUUUCAAAGGCCUGUCUAUCAUCGACAUUAGAGUGGUUUUUGUACCCGUUCUGCAACAGGACCACUGAUGGUGUCUCGCUGUGGAUUUUAGGGAUGAGUGCUUAUGGUACAUUGAUACCAUGUUCUUUGAUCCUAAUACACAACACAGAGAUGUCCUUGAAAAGAUGGCGCUAGGCAUCGAUGCUAUUCUGCAGAACUAUGACAUCACAUAGGAAGGAUGGAAGCUUGUAGACUGGAAAACUGAUGCUAUAAAAAUCAUGGAACCGUAUGACAAUCAAAGCUGUGGUGUCAUCAUGUUGUUGGGUAUUAAAGAAUGCGCGUAUCAGUUCACUCAUCACUUAGGUGUGGUAUGAUCCAAAUUUGGGUGGACAUUUGUUUUGUUGUCUUAUUUAUGGAUUGAUAUGCCCAUUUGGGUUCCAUAUGUGAUGGAAUUUUUUUUCCUUAUGACAAGGGAGUGUGGAUGUUGCCCGAAACUCUCUCUUGUAUGAUGAUCUUUACAACGAUGAGAACGAAUUAAGACUCACAUUUCUGGCGUUGCUUGGGGUCGAGUCAGACUCGGUUUGAUUAUGAAAAUGUUGUUUGUUUGGAGAUGAUUAAAAUGAUGUUUCUUUUGUUUUCUAAACUUUUGAGGAUUCACAAUGUGUUGUUGCGGGGCUAAUUUUGGAUUCGUCUCCACUUUGGAGAUGUUAACAUGACUUUGUUAGAAUGUUUUAGAAUUUGGUAUUUACAAUUUAGUACUUUGUACAGUAAAUUAAAGGAUUAUAGUAUUUAUAUGGUAAAUGUUGGUAUAUGUAUUUUGAAUGGUAAUACUUGGUCUAUAUUAGUGGAAUGUGAGUAUGAUAUUUCGUUUUAAAAAUAAUUAAAUUAAUUUUGAAAAGAAAAAAGAAAUUUUGUAUGAAAUACUGGCAGCACUUUACAAUUUUGUGUCAAAUGUGAUAAAAAUUUUCGCGGGCAUAUAUGAAUUGAUUAAUAAUUUAUACGUAAAAAAAAACUUAUGUUAUUCGACCAUUAUCAUAUUUCAAUUGUGGUUUGCAAAGUU
Molecule: long non-coding RNA, 3944 nt
Organism: Chenopodium quinoa (quinoa)
Lineage: Eukaryota; Viridiplantae; Streptophyta; Magnoliopsida; Caryophyllales; Amaranthaceae
Exons: 10
Source: RefSeq, a predicted model, not a curated record